RNAcentral lists this unclassified non-coding RNA (333 nucleotides) under Cercozoa sp. RNAcentral's name for it is "partial contains small subunit ribosomal RNA, internal transcribed spacer 1, and 5.8S ribosomal RNA". The stretch from base 1 to 47 matches the Rfam family "Eukaryotic small subunit ribosomal RNA", at positions 1785 to 1831 of the family's 1831-position model. The record is from RNAcentral. Lineage: Eukaryota; Cercozoa.
AAAGUCGUAACAAGGUUUCCGUAGGUGAACCUGCGGAAGGAUCAUUAUCACGUAUCCACGUAUCAACCAUUGUGAACUGUUUUACCUUUUGUCGAGAGUGAGGUAGUGGGAGAUAGAACUGCUCGUUUAAUGAUUUAGAGAGCAUCAAGGUUUUAUUUCUCCAUGGAACCGAUUUUUCGGUACAUACUCGUUCACUUCAAAUUGUAUUUUCAAAAAUCAUUGAAUAACAAUUCUAACUAUUUUGAACUUUGACUUAUCUUUUUCAUACUCUUAACGGAGAUGAAAUUCAUUACGAAACUAGAACAACUCUUAGCAACGGAUAUCUUGGUUCUC